Non-coding RNA from Sturnus vulgaris (Common starling), 239 nucleotides. NCBI's taxonomy places the organism in Eukaryota, Metazoa, Chordata, Aves, Passeriformes, Sturnidae. The record is from RefSeq and is a predicted model, not a curated record.
GGGACCAGGGGCCCUGCUGGACAGCUAUGAAGAGCUCUGUGCUCUGAGUGAACAAAGGCACUGUGGGCCUGGAGUCGCACAAGUGACUUCCAGAGGAUCAUCUCAGGAGCUCAGCCUGUAGAGAGUGGAGUACUUGUAUCUGUUUGUGCUGACCCCAGAAAGCUGAGCAAAGCAUCAUGAGCAGCCAACAGACAGUAAAAAUCUUCAAGAAAUCUGCUAUCCCAGGAGUUGUUAUCACU